Molecule: long non-coding RNA, 471 nt
Organism: Bombus impatiens (common eastern bumble bee)
Lineage: Eukaryota; Metazoa; Arthropoda; Insecta; Hymenoptera; Apidae
Exons: 2
Source: RefSeq, a predicted model, not a curated record
GGGAUCUGAUGAACUAUACCAAAUUAAGGAUCUUUCAUCAGUAUUUUCGGAAAUCGGCCGAAAUCCUAGACCUAUGAACAAUUAAAGAUAUCCUACUGUUAGUCAUUAUAUAAUAAUGGUAUUCGCGGUACUUUCUCAAAUGGAUAUGAAAAAGAUUUAUUUGCAAAAGUGAUAUCGUAUGGAGAAGACUAUGCUAGUAAUCACUUUCUUGUAAGUGGGAAAUUUAUAGAAAUUUCAAGGUCAGCAUUAGCUUUUUGAAUUAUACGUGAAUAACAUAAAGUUAAAUAUAUCAUUUUGUUUUAUACGAUCGAUGCAUUUGUUGUGCAUGUACUUACUAUCUUUGAUUAUCGAAAUUAGUGUUCGAUUUUCAUGCAAGUGACCAGCAUGAUAUAAGGAACAACGAGUUGAUUUUCACUUUUAUGAAGUAUAUUUAUAUUUUUUCAAAUAUAUAGUAGAGAAUAUAUAAAUUUA